AGUCGAGCGGUAGAGAGGUGCUUGCUUCUCUUGAGAGCGGCGGACGGGUGAGUAAUGCCUAGGAAUCUGCCUGGUAGUGGGGGAUAACGCUCGGAAACGGACGCUAAUACCGCAUACGUCCUACGGGAGAAAGCAGGGGACCUUCGGGCCUUGCGCUAUCAGAUGAGCCUAGGUCGGAUUAGCUAGUUGGUGAGGUAAUGGCUCACCAAGGCGACGAUCCGUAACUGGUCUGAGAGGAUGAUCAGUCACACUGGAACUGAGACACGGUCCAGACUCCUACGGGAGGCAGCAGUGGGGAAUAUUGGACAAUGGGCGAAAGCCUGAUCCAGCCAUGCCGCGUGUGUGAAGAAGGUCUUCGGAUUGUAAAGCACUUUAAGUUGGGAGGAAGGGCAUUAAACUAAUACGUUGGUGUUUUGACGUUACCGACAGAAUAAGCACCGGCUAACUCUGUGCCAGCAGCCGCGGUAAUACAGAGGGUGCAAGCGUUAAUCGGAAUUACUGGGCGUAAAGCGCGCGUAGGUGGUUAGUUAAGUUGGAUGUGAAAUCCCCGGGCUCAACCUGGGAACUGCAUUCAAAACUGACUAACUAGAGUAUGGUAGAGGGUGGUGGAAUUUCCUGUGUAGCGGUGAAAU
This 632-nucleotide ribosomal RNA is filed under the name uncultured bacterium. RNAcentral describes it as "bacterial SSU rRNA". It matches the Rfam family "Bacterial small subunit ribosomal RNA", at positions 60 to 687 of the family's 1533-position model. The record is from RNAcentral.